Puntigrus tetrazona (Sumatra barb) is the source of this 294-nucleotide long non-coding RNA. RefSeq lists it as uncharacterized. The record is from RefSeq and is a predicted model, not a curated record. The transcript is spliced from 3 exons. NCBI's taxonomy places the organism in Eukaryota, Metazoa, Chordata, Actinopteri, Cypriniformes, Cyprinidae.
GAAACAUGUGGAAGAUGGCGAGAAUAAAACUGAGGUGUUUACUAAUGGUCCAGAACUGAUAUCUCAGCAUUCUCUUCCUGGUCCAUAUAACUUCAACUGUGUGCUCAGCGAUGGGAAUAAUUUGAGCUGUAUCUGGGAUCUCAGAACAGAUCUGGCCCAGUAUAUCAGCUACACACUGUCCUACCGAACAUGCUCCACUGCACAGAACGAGUGGUGCUGUGUUGAGAAGGUGGAGGUCACAAAUAAAGGAGAUUCGUUGAGAAUGAUUGGUGUCUUCAGUAUCUUUGAGCCUGG